This 215-nucleotide ribosomal RNA is filed under the name uncultured fungus. RNAcentral describes it as "partial small subunit ribosomal RNA". The stretch from base 39 to 215 matches the Rfam family "Eukaryotic small subunit ribosomal RNA", at positions 686 to 864 of the family's 1831-position model. Lineage: Eukaryota; Fungi. The record is from RNAcentral.
GGAUCAGUAAGUUGGUCGUGCCUUUGGUACGUACUGGCUUACUGGUUCCUCCUUCUUGAAGAACUGUAAUGUCAUUAAUUUGGUGUUGCAGGGAAACAGGACUGUUACUUUGAAAAAAUUAGAGUGUUUAAAGCAAGCAAACGCUUGAAUACAUUAGCAUGGAAUAAUGAAAUAGGACGUUCGAACCUAUUUUGUUGGUUUCUAGGAUUGACGUA